Molecule: non-coding RNA, 2090 nt
Organism: Misgurnus anguillicaudatus (oriental weatherfish)
Lineage: Eukaryota; Metazoa; Chordata; Actinopteri; Cypriniformes; Cobitidae
Source: RefSeq, a predicted model, not a curated record
GCCUCGUGACGUGACAGUUUUUUUUUUCAAACUGAGGUGAGGAGUUCGGACUCCGGACCGGCAUUUCUGCUUGUUUGUACCCUGAGAUAACCAUGGUUAAUAAAUGGUCAGACACGUCACUGGCUUUAAAAUAUAAACCCCAUUGAUGCAAAAAGAUGCUGCAUGGAAUGACAAUGUGGUUUGGAACAGACUUGGUGAAGAACAUGGAAACAUCUCUUAAUAAAAUGGCCCCAAACAUCAUCAGGAGUGCAAAAGAAGGAAGUAAAAAACAUCUCUACGCCAAUCUCAUUGGAGAGGAAACCACAGAAGGUCUGGUGAGGAAUGCUGCACUUAUGUUAUUGCAAGCAUUAUUUCAAGAAAAUCCCAGCUUCCUUUACUGUGUAAAUAGUGAAGCCAAAGGUCCCACACCAACCAUAGUGUUCAACGGCUCUCCUGAUCUUUUCAAAUCUGAAUGUAUCAACUUUAUAAUGGACAAUGUAAACUUAAUAUGUGGAAGACAUUGACAUCACAGGCUGUGGAAUGACUGUGUCACAGGUCGGAGAAGCGGACCGCCCCUGUCGCAGAUCACGCUCCUUCUAGUUCGACCUCGAGGAGGUCCCAAAGCACCCCAAAUGACCAGACAAACCAGAGAUAAGUAAAAUAUAGAAAUAGAAACUUUAUUUAAAUUAUUUAAAACUAAAGUGGGGAAUGGGAAAGGGAAUCUAAAAAUCUCGCUUCUCGCCCUCAGGGGGAGUAUUACGGGGCCAGGGACGUUGGAGGGGUUUCCACGUGACUUUAGCUGGAACACCGCUACAGAGCGUAUCUGGGUGGGUUGGGCACACACCGUCGCGGCGGCCCCUGAUGGCAUCCACAAAGGUCCAAGACCCUCCUAAGCUCCCAGCCGUAGCAGAACUACGUAUUUCAGCACCCGAAGGACUAACAACCCAGCCGGCAUCUGCAGCGUAUAUCCAACGCGAUCAAACUUCACUCUGACAAGUAACUUCCUAUACACAACCACGCCGUCCUUUCGCCCGGACCAGCCCCGCACUCUUUCCGCCCGCUACCUAGCGGUCGCCGGAUCAGCAGAGCCUGCGGACUCUUCGGAGGCUGGUCUUCGUUGUGCUGCCCAAGGCGGAAGUUUACUUCCAGUAACUUCUACCUUCUCUCUUUAUAUCCUCCCCCACUCACACAGCUGUGCCUUGUUUCAGCGAGUGCGGGGAUUCCCGGGGAACCCGGAAGUGCCGGUGUCUGUACAAACCGGUCCGGGCGGAACCUCUUCACUCUCCUUUUGGUUCCGCCCCGCAUAGUCACUCCGUGACAACUGUUUGCGUUUUUUUUCUCCUCAAUGUUCAAUACCCUUUUGCCAUUAAGCACACAGUGACUUUAAUUUAUAAAAUAUAUGCUUAAGUUUUAAUACCUGUACAAAACAAAUGUACAAUCAACUUGUGUAAAUUGUCAUUCUAUUUAAUAGAUUGUUCAUGAAUUGUCUUUAAAUGCAUUGUGAUUUCGGUAACACUUUACAAUAAGGUUCAUUAGUUAACAUUAGUUAAUGUAUUAACUAACUUGAACAAACCAUGAGCAAUACAUUUGUUACAGUAUUUAUUCAUCUUUGUUAAUGUUAGUUAAUUCAAAUUUAAGCUUUAAUUGCUUGUUCAUGUUAGUUCAGAGUGCAUUAACUAAUGUUAACAAGAUUGUUGAAGUUAACAUUAACAAAGAUUAAUAAAGGCUGUAUAAGUGCAGUUCAUUAUUAGUUCAUGUUAACUAAUGAACCUUAUUGUAAAGUGUUACCGUGAUUUAUUUUCAUCAUUUCAGACACAUGUAAAAGUUACUAAAAAUUAGUACUGCAUAUAUUGUACAGUAUCUAUGCGUAAGGGAAAUAACUUGAACAAAAUUUUUAAUGUAUAGUGUAAUUAAGAGUUUAGCUGUUUAAUACAGAGAUGCAAUUUAUUUAUAUAUAUUAUUUAUAUAUAAACGUAUGUAUGUUUAUUAAAAAGUAAAAAUGCUUAAUGGAAAUAAUUAAAUAACUAAAUGGUUGAAUGUAAUGAGACAUUUUAAAUGUAAACUAAAGUUUUGCUGUCUAAUACAGAAUAAAGAGAAGUGAUUUUAAGUAA